RNAcentral lists this ribosomal RNA (253 nucleotides) under uncultured bacterium. RNAcentral describes it as "partial 16S ribosomal RNA". It matches the Rfam family "Bacterial small subunit ribosomal RNA", at positions 524 to 776 of the family's 1533-position model. The record is from RNAcentral.
GACGUAGGAUGCAAGCGUUGUCCGGAAUUAUUGGGCGUAAAGCGUACGUAGGCGGUUUCCUAAGUCUGGGGUUAAAGACCGAGGCUCAACCUCGGGAGUGCCCUGGAAACUGGGAGGCUGGAGGACGGCAGAGGAAAGUGGAAUUCCCAGUGUAGCGGUGAAAUGCGUAGAUAUUGGGAGGAACACCAGUGGCGAAAGCGACUUUCUGGGCCGUUCCUGACGCUGAGGUACGAAAGCUAGGGGAGCAAACGGG